RNAcentral lists this ribosomal RNA (497 nucleotides) under uncultured bacterium. RNAcentral's name for it is "partial 16S ribosomal RNA". It matches the Rfam family "Bacterial small subunit ribosomal RNA", at positions 28 to 507 of the family's 1533-position model. The record is from RNAcentral.
GAUGAACGCUGGCGGCGUGCCUAAUACAUGCAAGUCGAGCGAACAGACGAGGAGCUUGCUCCUCUGACGUUAGCGGCGGACGGGUGAGUAACACGUGGAUAACUUAACUAUAAGACUGGGAUAAAUUCGGGAAACCGGAGCUAAUACCGGAUAAUAUAUUGAACCGCAUGGUUCCAUAGUGAAAGACGGUUUUGCUGUCACUUAUAGAUGGAUCCGCGCCGCAUUAGCUAGUUGGUAAGGUAACGGCUUACCAAGGCAACGAUGCGUAGCCGACCUGAGAGGGUGAUCGGCCACACUGGAACUGAGACACGGUCCAGACUCCUACGGGAGGCAGCAGUAGGGAAUAUUCCGCAAUGGGCGAAAGCCUGACGGAGCAACGCCGCGUGAGUGAUGAAGGUCUUCGGAUCGUAAAACUCUGUUAUUAGGGAAGAACAAAUGUGUAAGUAACUAUGCACGUCUUGACGGUACCUAAUCAGAAAGCCACGGCUGACUACGUG